UUUAAAAAACAAGUCUGGAAAUGAGGACUCGAAAGCCACGGGGUAGCCAAAUACCUGCCAUGAAGGAUUUUACAGUGAGAAACGACGCCGUCAUAAAUUGGAGAAGAGGGAUCAUAGGUAAGGCCAAUUGGGCUGCCUCGAAAUCCAAGAAACAAAUCAUGAAAGAAAUGAAACUCAAAAAAAUUGUACAGAAACACAAAAGAGAAAACAGCAAACGCAAAGAAAUAAUGUGAAAAGGGUAUGAGAGAGAAGGCAUUGAGAAGAAGAUUGUAGGGGUACAGAGAAGAAGAG
This 291-nucleotide unclassified non-coding RNA is filed under the name Hevea brasiliensis (rubber tree). Lineage: Eukaryota; Viridiplantae; Streptophyta; Magnoliopsida; Malpighiales; Euphorbiaceae. The record is from RNAcentral.